GGGGAAUUUUGGACAAUGGGCGCAAGCCUGAUCCAGCAAUGCCGCGUGAGUGAAGAAGGCCUUCGGGUUGUAAAGCUCUUUUGUCAGGGAAGAAACGGCUGUGGCUAAUAUCCACGGCUAAUGACGGUACCUGAAGAAUAAGCACCGGCUAACUACGUGCCAGCAGCCGCGGUAAUACGUAGGGUGCAAGCGUUAAUCGGAAUUACUGGGCGUAAAGCGUGCGCAGGCGGUUUUGUAAGUCUGUCGUGAAAUCCCCGGGCUCAACCUGGGAAUUGCGAUGGAGACUGCAAGGCUAGAAUCUGGCAGAGGGGGGUAGAAUUCCACGUGUAGCAGUGAAAUGCGUAGAGAUGUGGAGGAACACCGAUGGCGAAGGCAGCCCCCUGGGUCAAGAUUGACGCUCAUGCACGAAAGCGUGGGGAGCAAACAGGAUUAGAUACCCUGGUAGCCCACGCCCUAAACGAUGUCUACUAGUUGUCGGGUUUUAAUUAACUUGGUAACACAGCUAACGCGUGAAGUAGACCGCCUGGGGAGUACGGUCGCAAGAUUA
Molecule: ribosomal RNA, 547 nt
Filed under: uncultured bacterium
Lineage: Bacteria
Description: bacterial SSU rRNA
Rfam family: Bacterial small subunit ribosomal RNA
Source: RNAcentral